RNAcentral lists this ribosomal RNA (253 nucleotides) under uncultured bacterium. RNAcentral describes it as "partial 16S ribosomal RNA". It matches the Rfam family "Bacterial small subunit ribosomal RNA", at positions 524 to 776 of the family's 1533-position model. The record is from RNAcentral.
UACAGGGGGGGCAAGCGUUGUUCGGAAUUACUGGGCGUAAAGGGCUUGUAGGUGGCCGACUAAGUCCGACGUGAAAUCCCCCGGCUCAACCGGGGAAUGGCUGGAUAUACUGGCGGUCUUGAGCGAUCUAGGGGCAGAUGGAACAGACGGUGGAGCGGUGAAAUGCGUAGAUAUCGUCUGGAACGCCAAAGGUGAAGACAGUCUGCUGGGGAUCUGCUGACGCUGAGACACGAAAGCCAGGGGAGCGAACGGG